GACGAUCGCUGGCGGCGUGCUUAACACAUGCAAGUCGAACGGAAAGGCCCUGCUUUUGUGGGGUGCUCGAGUGGCGAACGGGUGAGUAACACGUGAGUAACCUGCCCUUGACUUUGGGAUAACUUCAGGAAACUGGGGCUAAUACCGGAUAGGAGCUCCUGCUGCAUGGUGGGGGUUGGAAAGUUUCGGCGGUUGGGGAUGGACUCGCGGCUUAUCAGCUUGUUGGUGGGGUAGUGGCUUACCAAGGCUUUGACGGGUAGCCGGCCUGAGAGGGUGACCGGCCACAUUGGGACUGAGAUACGGCCCAGACUCCUACGGGAGGCAGCAGUGGGGAAUAUUGCACAAUGGGCGGAAGCCUGAUGCAGCAACGCCGCGUGCGGGAUGACGGCCUUCGGGUUGUAAACCGCUUUCGCCUGUGACGAAGCGUGGGUGACGGUAAUGGGUAAAGAAGCACCGGCUAACUACGUG
RNAcentral lists this ribosomal RNA (468 nucleotides) under uncultured bacterium. Its description in RNAcentral is "partial 16S ribosomal RNA". It matches the Rfam family "Bacterial small subunit ribosomal RNA", at positions 28 to 507 of the family's 1533-position model. The record is from RNAcentral.